AUUGGACGCUGGCGGCAUGCUUUACACAUGCAAGUCGAACGGCAGCACGGGCUUCGGCCUGGUGGCGAGUGGCGAACGGGUGAGUAAUAUAUCGGAACGUACCCAGAAGUGGGGGAUAACGUAGCGAAAGUUACGCUAAUACCGCAUACGAUCUAUGGAUGAAAGCAGGGGACCGCAAGGCCUUGUGCUCCUGGAGCGGCCGAUAUCUGAUUAGCUAGUUGGUGAGGUAAAGGCUCACCAAGGCGACGAUCAGUAGCUGGUCUGCGAGGAAGACCAGCCACACUGGAACUGGGACACGGUCCAGACUCCUACGGGAGGCAGCAGUGGGGAAUUUUGGACAAUGGGCGCAAGCCUGAUCCAGCAAUGCCGCGUGAGUGAAGAAGGCCUUCGGGUUGUAAAGCUCUUUUGUCAGGGAAGAAACGGUAGAGGCUAAUAUCCUUUGCUAAUGACGGUACCUGAAGAAUAAGCACCGGCUAACUACGUG
Molecule: ribosomal RNA, 484 nt
Filed under: uncultured bacterium
Lineage: Bacteria
Description: partial 16S ribosomal RNA
Rfam family: Bacterial small subunit ribosomal RNA
Source: RNAcentral